GACGUAGGUGGCGAGCGUUAUUCGGAAUUACUAGGCGUAAAGCGAGUGUAGGCGGAUGCUUAAGUCCGUAGUGAGAUCUCCCGGCUCAACCGGGAGGGGUCUGCGGAUACUGGGCGUCUUGAAUUGGGUAGGGGGGAUCAGAAUUCCCGGUGUAGCGGUGAAAUGCGCAGAUAUCAGGAGGAACACCAGUGGCGAAGGCGGUGCUCUGGGCCGGUACUGACGCUGAGGAGCGAAAGCGUGGGGAGCAAACAGG
This 253-nucleotide ribosomal RNA is filed under the name uncultured bacterium. RNAcentral describes it as "partial 16S ribosomal RNA". It matches the Rfam family "Bacterial small subunit ribosomal RNA", at positions 524 to 776 of the family's 1533-position model. The record is from RNAcentral.